UGAAACCAACAGUUGUGCUGUGGAUUCUGGUUAGGACUACAUCACACUCUGAAUAACAGCUCUUCUGGGGUUUAUCAAACUGUAAAAGAUGGUUAAGGUAUUUUUCAAGGGCAUUGGAUAUGCUGAGAGGUACCUUGAAGAGAUCAAGACCGAACUCCAAAGACGACUUUGUGUGACCCAAGUUGGAAAUGAACGAGAAUGUGAUGUCAUCUUGGUCCUCUGUCCAAUCGUCUCUCGAGCUGGAACCGAUGUUGAGGCUGCACUGAGUGCGAUUCCAAGCUCAAAGCCUACACUUCUUAUGGUGUUUCAUCACACAUUCGACCCGGACGAGAUAAUACCCAACACCCAGAAGUAUGUCGGAGGGAGAGGAAUGACGGUAGACCUGCUUUUCAAUGAAGAAGGAGGACUACUUUCUUGCAGAAGAAAUGAGAACUCUAAGAGAAUGGCUGCAGAUUUUCUCAGCCAAUAUGAAACACAAAGCCCUAGACGCAGUGAUAUCUAUUCAAAUGCCAAGCUUCUGUUCAUUUUAUUGGUCAUUUUAAUCAUGUUUUGGCUUUGGCAUUCUCAGGAAGAUCAGGAAGAUCAAGAUCAAAUGAUGUCAAAUGAUACACUACAGUCGAAAUAUGAGCAUAACUGAAAUCUGAUUCAAAUCGUCUUCGGUCUGAAAUGCCAGAAGUGGGUUUUUUUAAGUCAUAUAUUGGCAACACCAACAUGUUUUAUUUGAAAACAUAAAAAAGGUGAAGAGCAAUCAGCAGUAUGACUUUCAAGUGUCAUUUGAUUUAAGAGUAAAUUGUAGUUUAUAAGUUGUAAUUACUCAACCUCCUUGCAUCCUGAAACUGCAUAACACCUCUAACCUUUUAGCCAUUUUACUUAGUUAUUUAUUAAGUUAUAAGCUAGGCUACUGCUGGGAAAGGUGGAAAAUCAUGUGAACAGGCCAUAAUAAAAUUGAAAGUGUUCAAUCAA
Molecule: long non-coding RNA, 963 nt
Organism: Clupea harengus (Atlantic herring)
Lineage: Eukaryota; Metazoa; Chordata; Actinopteri; Clupeiformes; Clupeidae
Source: RefSeq, a predicted model, not a curated record